This 74-nucleotide transfer RNA is filed under the name SAR324 cluster bacterium. Its description in RNAcentral is "tRNA-Ile". It matches the Rfam family "tRNA". From Rfam's summary of the family: Transfer RNA (tRNA) molecules are approximately 80 nucleotides in length. Lineage: Bacteria; Deltaproteobacteria. The record is from RNAcentral.
GGGCCUAUAGCUCAGCUGGUUAGAGCAUCCGGCUCAUAACCGGAUGGUCCCUGGUUCAAAUCCAGGUGGGCCCA